RNAcentral lists this ribosomal RNA (492 nucleotides) under uncultured bacterium. RNAcentral describes it as "partial 16S ribosomal RNA". It matches the Rfam family "Bacterial small subunit ribosomal RNA", at positions 29 to 507 of the family's 1533-position model. The record is from RNAcentral.
AGUGAACGCUGGCGGUAGUCCUAACACAUGCAAGUCGAACGGCAGCACAGUAAGAGCUUGCUCUUACGGGUGGCGAGUGGCGGACGGGUGAGGAAUACAUCGGAAUCUACUUUUUCGUGGGGGAUAACGUAGGGAAACUUACGCUAAUACCGCAUACGACCUACGGGUGAAAGCAGGGAAUCUUCGGACCUUGCGCGAUUGAAUGAGCCGAUGUCGGAUUAGCUAGUUGGCGGGGUAAAGGCCCACCAAGGCGACGAUCCGUAGCUGGUCUGAGAGGAUGAUCAGCCACACUGGAACUGAGACACGGUCCAGACUCCUACGGGAGGCAGCAGUGGGGAAUAUUGGACAAUGGGCGCAAGCCUGAUCCAGCCAUACCGCGUGGGUGAAGAAGGCCUUCGGGUUGUAAAGCCCUUUUGUUGGGAAAGAAAAGCAGCAGGUUAAUACCCCGCUGUUCUGACGGUACCCAAAGAAUAAGCACCGGCUAACUUCGUG